GGCGAUGUGGUGAAACUGGUAGACAUGCUACUUUGAGGUGGUAGUGGGAGCAAUCCUGUAGGAGUUCGAAUCUCCUCAUCGUCA
RNAcentral lists this transfer RNA (84 nucleotides) under Arcicella sp. It matches the Rfam family "tRNA". From Rfam's summary of the family: Transfer RNA (tRNA) molecules are approximately 80 nucleotides in length. Their secondary structure includes four short double-helical elements and three loops (D, anti-codon, and T loops). Further hydrogen bonds mediate the characteristic L-shaped molecular structure. tRNAs have two regions of fundamental functional importance: the anti-codon, which is responsible for specific mRNA codon recognition, and the 3' end, to which the tRNAs corresponding amino acid is attached (by aminoacyl-tRNA synthetases). tRNAs cope with the degeneracy of the genetic code in two manners: having more than one tRNA (with a specific anti-codon) for a particular amino acid; and 'wobble' base-pairing, i.e. permitting non-standard base-pairing at the 3rd anti-codon position. Lineage: Bacteria; Pseudomonadati; Bacteroidota; Cytophagia; Cytophagales; Flectobacillaceae. The record is from Rfam by way of RNAcentral.